This 410-nucleotide long non-coding RNA is filed under the name Oryza brachyantha (malo sina). RNAcentral describes it as "long non-coding RNA (OBRA_LNC001192)". The record is from RNAcentral. Lineage: Eukaryota; Viridiplantae; Streptophyta; Magnoliopsida; Poales; Poaceae.
CUCUCUCUCUCUGAGCUUCAGAUAAUCGGAGCCCAUAUCCUGCUGUAGCCUUCCAUCUGUGCAGAGCUGCAGAUGCAAGUGCAACUCCUGUUGUUUGGCCUGCUCUGUGUUCUUGGUCGUCGUCGUCUUCAUCAAGUACAACCACAUGGUCCAGCCACAGUGCAGUAACUCUGCAGCAGUCAUUUGACCGGUUACAUCUGCUGUGUGUUAGAUUGUUCAGCAGUAUACAUGGCCAUGGAUUCCUGAUGGGAGUGGCAUGGGAGUGAGUGCUUGAAACAGGCUCAAAAACCUUUCCUUUGCUGCACAUUGCAAGUUUGUAGCUGGGUUUCUCGAGGAGCUCUUGAUUUGGUGUGAUUUGAUGUGUGUGUAUUUAGCAUCUGGAUGAUCUGUUUUAUGAUCUGAGUUGUGAU